Molecule: long non-coding RNA, 571 nt
Organism: Salvia splendens (bonfire salvia)
Lineage: Eukaryota; Viridiplantae; Streptophyta; Magnoliopsida; Lamiales; Lamiaceae
Exons: 2
Source: RefSeq, a predicted model, not a curated record
AAUCUUUGUUGUUAAGUCUUGAAGGAUAUACAUGAUGCAUAUGUGUUAAGGAACUCAUUCUAUGAUGAAGUGAUGUGUUGUUCGUUGAUGCAUGCUAUGGUGUGUUUCCUUGUAUUGAUAAACGUUUGGGAUGGGUAAAAAUUAAAGAGACGAUGAAAGGAACGUUAGGGCAUGCAUGAUAAUGGUUGUGAUGAAGGGCUGAUUUUAUUGUGUUGUUGAUAAGGGUUGUCGUGCGUACGUGAGCACAAGGAGCGAGAGUUACAUUGAAUUGUGUUUUGUGAUAUCUAAGCAAGCGAGGUUGAGCGGGAUGUGGCAAUGGAUGUUGAGUCGGCAUAGGAAAAUUGGAUGCGUUGUGUCUUCAUACAUAGGCGCCAUCCUAUGACUCUCUUUUGAUAACUCUUUUCCGCUGCUAUUUAUUGAAACUGAUGUCAUAAGAAUUUACUUUACGUCGUAUGGUUUUGCCUGUGUAAAACACUUAGAUAUUUUGAAUUCCGCUGCUUACUUUAAAAACUAAAACGUUUUGUGGUCUAAACAUUUGUUCUUGUGGAAAUUAAUUGACUUUUGCCUUAAA